Molecule: long non-coding RNA, 462 nt
Organism: Amphimedon queenslandica
Lineage: Eukaryota; Metazoa; Porifera; Demospongiae; Haplosclerida; Niphatidae
Exons: 2
Source: RefSeq, a predicted model, not a curated record
ACAUGUACAUCAUUCAAACAAUGGACCAUUGUCAUCAGUAGCCAGUAUCUAUAAUAAAGAGGUACAUACUGACUGGAAUAGUUAUUCAUUUUAUCAUAUACUAAAGGUCAUAUAAGAGACUAUACUAGAUAUCAGCUACUGAAUGAUGAAUACCUUCCAGUGUUUGGUCCUUGUUGCUGCUAUUGGAUUCAUCAUUACUACUACUGCAGUUACCGCUAAAAACAUUUGCUACAGUGAUACAGAAUGCAAGGAUAAUGUAACUGCAUCUGAUAACUGCUGUGGUAUCCCUGGAGUCAAAGCUUUUGGGAUAUUUCUAACACCCUUUGAUAUAAAGUGCAUGAGGUGCAAACAGUAGCUGAGAGAUCAAGAAGGUCUGAGAAGGAACUGUACUUUCAAUAAAUAAAUAAAUAUUUACUAACAAUAAAUAAAAUAUUUUAAAAUUGAUAAUAAAUUUAAAGUUAA